Danio rerio (zebrafish) is the source of this 1578-nucleotide non-coding RNA. The record is from RefSeq and is a predicted model, not a curated record. NCBI's taxonomy places the organism in Eukaryota, Metazoa, Chordata, Actinopteri, Cypriniformes, Danionidae.
UAAAAAAAAAACUUAAUAAAACAAAUGGAACCAAAUCCCAAUCAUAUUAAAACUAGUCAUCUUAACACCAGACCUGAUCCUUGUUCAAACCUUCACAAAUAAACACAACUCAAUGUUUUUGUGGGGUCACAGAUAUAAAUCGCCAAUGUAAAUCAACACUGGAGAGGGCUCUAAAAAGUAGGUCGCCAAACUGGUCAAUGUAUACUGAUGGUUAAAAAUGCAACCGACCGACUCCAUUGCACAACCGAGUCCAUCUGCAAGAAAAUCAUUACCUUGAGGAAUCUGUGCUGGACAGAAAUGACAACAACAAAUGUAACAUUAAGCGUGUGGGACUUCAAGACAUGCACACUGCAAAUUAUCUUCAACUCCAAACCAACAUCAUAUACUGAAAACACAUCUGCCAUUUUUUUCCCUUUUCACACCAAGUGCCCAGUUUAGUCAUACAAAAGCCACUUGUUCUGGUAGGCAAAUGGAUGCGUGUCGUUAAAGCUGCAGACACGUGGCUUGCACGGCCUCAUGGGAAACGGAUGGCAUCAGAUCUAUGUGCAUCUGCAAGAACACUUUUUCAUCACUUUCAUAUCUCCGAAGCUUCAAAAAGACCACAGCGUGACGCAAAACAGGAAGCUUAAUAUUUUAAUAACCCUAAACAUAUUGCGGAGGAUUAUUUAUACACGAGUGUUUGGGUUUCACUAAUCAGAUCAUGACGUCAUUUAAACCUCAUGUCACAUAUAAAAGGCUGCGCGUUUGUUUGUUUGCUACUAAUUCUGCUGUGAAAUCUUGCAUUCGAUGAAGCGCUUACAGCACGAUGGCGAUGUAUUGGAUUGUCUGGGCUGGUGAAAAACAUGUCUGUUCUUGCCAUGGUGCGGUGACUAUCCUCGCGGGGCUUUCUGAAGAAGAGUCGUCUGAUGUAAUGACCGCCCUGAGGGUGCAGACCGAGCAAGACAAUAGGAGGCAUCGCUGGCGCUAUACAACACAGCAUGGUGGCAAUACAACCCAAACUGGAUCGGUACAUUCAGCUGUCCAACAAUACGGGCGACCCGCUGGCCCGAAAGAAUUGGGGUGGUCACCUGACCAGCUGCAAACUCACACUUUCAGUUUUCUGUCAUCAAUGCUACUUGUGGACUUUUCCAAGGUGUCGAAUGUUUUUCCCACAGCUCUCAAUCAAGCUUGGAUUUUGGCCCUUCUUCAGAAAAAGUGUGGGCACCCCUGCUAUACAUCAUUAGAAAGCUCAUGGAUUCAAUAUUUGCACAAUGUUCUACAAGUUAUAUUUUGCUGUGAGAGAAAUGUUCUAAUCACAAAUAUUUGCAGCAAAACAUAAAUAAGAUCUAUAAGUAAACAAAGUCGUCCUUUACUAUAAAAUCAGUACACUCUGACAAGCAAACUUUGUUUUUAGGCUAUAUAUUUAAACACUUUUAGAAUAUUUUCUUUUAAAGAUCUGUAUUUAUAUAUUUAGAUGUUAGCUUUAAGGUCUAAAGUCUACAUUGUAAAAGCGCUAUAGACGUAAAGAUUAAUUGAAUAUCUAUAAGCUAGAGUGCUCCAGAACAGUGAAAAAAUUGGUAUUAAAAAACAUAAAACUGA